Molecule: transfer RNA, 69 nt
Filed under: Anolis longitibialis
Lineage: Eukaryota; Metazoa; Chordata; Lepidosauria; Squamata; Anolidae
Description: tRNA-Ile
Source: RNAcentral
GGAAAUGUGCCUGAAUAAAAGGGUAACUUUGAUAGAGUUAACAAUAGAGAUUUAUACCUCUCAUUUCCU